Molecule: ribosomal RNA, 528 nt
Filed under: Triticum aestivum (bread wheat)
Lineage: Eukaryota; Viridiplantae; Streptophyta; Magnoliopsida; Poales; Poaceae
Description: partial small subunit ribosomal RNA
Source: RNAcentral
AUGGUGUUGGUGCUUUGUGAAAAGUUUGGCCACCUGAACCUGACAUUUUCUAUUGGAGAGCAUAUCAGUUCUAAUGGCGUAAUUUUGAUCGCAAUGACAUCGAUGGCGCCGAGAGGAGGCAAAGCGGCAAGACGUGUUUUGCCGUGCUGGGUCGAACGCCGGCCAGAACGUGUCACCGACAUGUGCUGGGUUGCUGGUCGAUUUCUUGCUUUGCGUACAGUUCACCAGCGGAUUAUGGGUAAGAAUGGACUAAAGAAGGAUGAUGUUGGAGAUCUGAAAAUAAUUUUUGGUUGCCAAAUGUUGUUGGAAAAUAAAAAAUCUACACGGGAAGACCUCGGCAAAUACUUUCAGCAACAAAGAAACAAAGUUGACCACCCCGUCAUCACGAUAAAGGCCUUCUUCGACUCCAACGGUGGCCUCUGGCAGUACCAGAGCAUCUCGGGCAAUCCCACGGGCAUCUUCUUUGCCAUGGGCACCCAGGGCAGGCAAGCGAAGACUCAGACCAUCGCCACCUGUCGUCUACAUUGA